This is a long non-coding RNA of Hibiscus syriacus, 174 nucleotides long. RefSeq lists it as uncharacterized. NCBI's taxonomy places the organism in Eukaryota, Viridiplantae, Streptophyta, Magnoliopsida, Malvales, Malvaceae. The transcript is spliced from 2 exons. The record is from RefSeq and is a predicted model, not a curated record.
GACACAUUUAAUCAUUCAUUAUGAACCAAAAAACAAAACUAGGGUCUCCAAUGAUUCAAAGCUGAAUGAGUAAAGCAUAAGGCCUUACAAAGAAUACAGCAAAAAUGAGUAGAGGAAUUUUCAUGUCACUUUGCAGCACCAAUAUUUUUGGUAAACCACACAAGUCUUGUAACA